GGGGCAUUAGCUUAGUUGGGAGAGCAGCUGACUCUUAAUCAGCAGGUCGCAGGUUCGAACCCUGCAUGCCCCA
Bacillus smithii is the source of this 73-nucleotide non-coding RNA. NCBI's taxonomy places the organism in Bacteria, Bacillati, Bacillota, Bacilli, Caryophanales, Bacillaceae. The record is from Rfam.